RNA transcript from Manihot esculenta (cassava), 1878 nucleotides. It is a transcript of the gene named ribosome biogenesis protein WDR12 homolog, with no coding region annotated. Lineage: Eukaryota; Viridiplantae; Streptophyta; Magnoliopsida; Malpighiales; Euphorbiaceae. The record is from RefSeq and is a predicted model, not a curated record. The transcript is spliced from 14 exons.
CAUUUCAAUCCUAAGAAUUGUAGGCAGUGGCAUGCACUACCUAAAACCCUAGGGGUCUCUGCUUCUCUUAUAUUCUGUUCCUCUAUAUCAUCCUCACUAAACCCUGCCCGAAUUCCUUUUCCACUAAAGCCUACUUUCUUCUGUUUCUGCGCUGGUCCGAUUGUACUGUUUGUAAUUGGAGAAAAUGGAAGGGGAUGCAGAAGAGAGGCAGAUUCAAGCACGAUUUGUUACAAAACUGAAGCCCCCAUUCAAAGCCCCAGUAGCUGCCAUUACUAUCCCAGCUAAUAUCACCCGUCUCGGCCUCUCAACCAUCGUCAAUAGCCUCCUCGAAGCCGGGAAUGCUGACUGGGAUAAUCAGCCUUUUGAUUUUCUUAUUGAUGGAGAGCUUGUCCGUAUGUCACUUGAGCAGUUUCUUCUUGCCAAGGGCAUUUCCGCGGAGAAGAUAUUAGAAAUUGAAUACGUUAAGGCAGUUGUCCCUCGGAAACAGGAGGAGCCUUCUUUGCAUGAUGACUGGGUCAGUGCUGUUGAUGGUUCUUGUCCUCGGUUCAUUUUGACAGGGUGCUAUGAUGGCCUUGGAAGGGUAUGGAAAGCUGCUGGGCUGUGUACGCAUAUACUAGAGGGACACAGUGAUGCAAUUACUUCUGUUAGUAUUAUCUCAUCAGGAGAUGAGGAUAGUGUUACAUUAGCCACUGCCUCAAAAGAUCAAACUCUCAGGCUGUGGAAGUUUGAUACUGAAGAACCUGAAAAUUCUCCUGCAAAGAUCAGGGCCUUCAAAAUUUUGCGUGGGCAUAAUGCAUCUGUGCAAAGUGUUGCAGCUGAAACUUCUGGAAGCAUGAUCUGUUCGGGUUCUUGGGAUUGUACGAUCAAUUUAUGGAGGACAGAUAAGUCUGAUGCUGAAGGUGAUUUAGUGUCAAUUAAGAAGAGAAAAGUGAAAAACAAAUCUGAGGAAUCUCAGUUAGAGGGUGAGGCUACAUCUACAUUUGUGGGCCAUACACAACGCAUAUCGUCUGUUGUUUGGCCGGAACGUGAAACAAUCUACUCUGCAUCAUGGGAUCAUUCCAUUAGACGUUGGGAUGUUGAGACAAGCAAAGAUUCAGCAAAAAUAUUCUGCGGAAAAGCUCUCAACUGCUUACAUGUUGGAGGGGAGGGUUCAGCUCUCGUUGCUGCUGGGGGAUCUGACCCCAUCCUUAGGAUAUGGGAUCCACGAAAACCCGGAACUUCUGCUCCUAUUUAUCAGUUCUCGUCUCACACUGCUUGGGUUUCGGCUUGUAAAUGGCAUGAUAAGUCUUGGUUUCAUUUACUUUCUGCAUCCUAUGAUGGAAAAGUUAUGUUGUGGGAUCUAAGAACUGCGGUACUGUAUUCUCUUUUACUUUUAACUAUUGUGGCCCCUGGCUGUUAUUGAAUCUCAUGAAGACAAGGUACUAUGUGCUGAUUGGUGGAGAGGGGAUUGUGUGGUAAGUGGUGGGGUUGACUGCAAGCUAUGCAUUUCUUCUGACACUGCUGUGCAGUAAGGGAAGAAUUAUGGGGAAAGAUGGAAGCAACUUCUGGAGAACAUGGUUUUGAUACUACAAGGAUCGUUGUCCGUCUCAGGCUCUUAUUAACUCUAGCGAGACGGGGAAGCCUGAUUCUCUGUCAGACAAAGGAGCUGAAGCUGAUUGAUGGAUUUAAGCUCUAGUCACUUUUUUUCCAGACACUUUUAUGUAAUGUUAAUUUUGGCAACUGUGAUAUCUUAUGGGGAUGUCAUUGGGCCAAUAAAUUUUUAUAAAAUUGUAUACGUGGAGAGAAAUUGAUUUGUUAGGUUUUUAAUUUUGAUGGAAAAUUGAUUUGUAGUAAUGAAAAAUGAGACAUGCGCAAGGGUGUGCUGUCCUUUUUUUUUUU